This 468-nucleotide ribosomal RNA is filed under the name uncultured bacterium. Its description in RNAcentral is "partial 16S ribosomal RNA". It matches the Rfam family "Bacterial small subunit ribosomal RNA", at positions 28 to 507 of the family's 1533-position model. The record is from RNAcentral.
GACGAACGCUGGCGGCGUGCUUAACACAUGCAAGUCGAACGGAAAGGCCCUGCUUUUGUGGGGUGCUCGAGUGGCGAACGGGUGAGUAACACGUGAGUAACCUGCCCUUGACUGUGGGAUAACUUCAGGAAACUGGGGCUAAUACCGGAUAGGAGCUCCUGCUGCAUGGUGGGGGUUGGAAAGUUUCGGCGGUUGGGGAUGGACUCGCGGCUUAUCAGCUUGUUGGUGGGGUAGUGGCUUACCAAGGCUUUGACGGGUAGCCGGCCUGAGAGGGUGACCGGCCACAUUGGGACUGAGAUACGGCCCAGAAUCCUACGGGAGGCAGCAGUGGGGAAUAUUGCACAAUGGGCGGAAGCCUGAUGCAGCAACGCCGCGUGCGGGAUGACGGCCUUCGGGUUGUAAACCGCUUUCGCCUGUGACGAAGCGUGAGUGACGGUAAUGGGUAAAGAAGCACCGGCUAACUACGUG